Molecule: ribosomal RNA, 551 nt
Filed under: uncultured bacterium
Lineage: Bacteria
Description: bacterial SSU rRNA
Rfam family: Bacterial small subunit ribosomal RNA
Source: RNAcentral
UAGGGAAUCUUCCGCAAUGGACGAAAGCCUGACGGAGCAACGCCGCGUGAGUGAUGAAGGUUUUCGGAUCGUAAAGCUCUGUUGUUAGGGAAGAACAAGUGCCGUUCGAAUAGGGCGGCACCUUGACGGUACCUAACCAGAAAGCCACGGCUAACUACGUGCCAGCAGCCGCGGUAAUACGUAGGUGGCAAGCGUUGUCCGGAAUUAUUGGGCGUAAAGCGCACGCAGGUGGUUCCUUAAGUCUGAUGUGAAAGCCCACGGCUCAACCGUGGAGGGUCAUUGGAAACUGGGGAACUUGAGUGCAGAAGAGGAAAGUGGAAUUCCAAGUGUAGCGGUGAAAUGCGUAGAUAUUUGGAGGAACACCAGUGGCGAAGGCGACUUUCUGGUCUGUAACUGACACUGAGGCGCGAAAGCGUGGGGAGCAAACAGGAUUAGAUACCCUGGUAGUCCACGCCGUAAACGAUGAGUGCUAAGUGUUAGGGGGUUUCCGCCCCUUAGUGCUGCAGCUAACGCAUUAAGCACUCCGCCUGGGGAGUACGGUCGCAAGACUG